CUUGCCGUAAACCUAGAACAUUUUGUGCCAUCAGUUUAUGCAUUUGCUGCAAUUCCAGGGCAAUGGGGAAAAUCCUAUUUUAUCCUAACAACAACCAUGAAACUAUACUACUAGUAGCUGACACUUACUGAGUUCUUAUUAAAUGCCAUGCAUGGUACUGAGAGCCUUACAGGCAUUACCUCCUCAAAUCUUCAGGACUAUGAAAUCAUCCCUUAUAUCUAUUUUCCAGGUAAGAAAAUUAAGGUCACCAGCUAUUCUGUAGUAGAGCCAGAAUUCAAACCUGGAGUCUGCAUUUUUAGGUACUAGUGGUGUUUUUCGCCCCAGAUUAUGCAUUUUGGGCAUUGAUACUACUGAGUUUCCAUCUUUAGGUGCAUCUUCGCAGGUAUCAGUUGGAGGAACUGGAGAAGAUGCACUGGCGCUGUGAGACAGAAGUCAUUCUCAGCCAGGAGUGUCAUUUUCUCCUUGGAGUCUCUAACUUCAGGAUUCUGUGAUUUGGCCAUAAAUAAUAAAUAUGGUUUAGUAGAGGUUAAUAAAAUGCUUGUUGAAUUACUGCCAA
Molecule: long non-coding RNA, 556 nt
Filed under: Pongo abelii (Sumatran orangutan)
Lineage: Eukaryota; Metazoa; Chordata; Mammalia; Primates; Hominidae
Description: lincRNA
Source: RNAcentral